AACGAACGCUGGCGGCAGGCCUAACACAUGCAAGUCGAGCGCCCAGCAAUGGGAGCGGCAGACGGGUGAGUAACGCGUGGGAACCUUCCCAAUGGUACGGAAUAGCUCAGGGAAACUUGAGGUAAUACCGCAUAAGCCCGAAAGGGGAAGAUUUAUCGCCAUUGGAUGGGCCCGCGUAGGAUUAGCUAGUUGGUGAGGUAAUGGCUCACCAAGGCGACGAUCCUUAGCUGGUUUGAGAGAAUGACCAGCCACACUGGGACUGAGACACGGCCCAGACUCCUACGGGAGGCAGCAGUGGGGAAUCUUGGACAAUGGGCGAAAGCCUGAUCCAGCCAUGCCGCGUGAGUGACGAAGGUCUUCGGAUUGUAAAGCUCUUUUGCCAGGGACGAUAAUGACGGUACCUGGAGAAUAAGCCCCGGCUAACUUCGUGCCAGCCGCCGCAGU
RNAcentral lists this ribosomal RNA (444 nucleotides) under uncultured bacterium. Its description in RNAcentral is "bacterial SSU rRNA". It matches the Rfam family "Bacterial small subunit ribosomal RNA", at positions 29 to 521 of the family's 1533-position model. The record is from RNAcentral.